Molecule: ribosomal RNA, 468 nt
Filed under: uncultured bacterium
Lineage: Bacteria
Description: partial 16S ribosomal RNA
Rfam family: Bacterial small subunit ribosomal RNA
Source: RNAcentral
GACGAACGCUGGCGGCGUGCUUAACACAUGCAAGUCGAACGGAAAGGCCCUGCUUUUGUGGGGUGCUCGAGUGGCGAACGGGUGUGUAACACGUGAGUAACCUGCCCUUGACUUUGGGAUAACUUCAGGAAACUGGGGCUAAUACCGGAUAGGAGCUCCUGCUGCAUGGUGGGGGUUGGAGAGUUUCGGCGGUUGGGGAUGGACUCGCGGCUUAUCAGCUUGUUGGUGGGGUAGUGGCUUACCAAGGCUUUGACGGGUAGCCGGCCUGAGAGGGUUACCGGGGACAUGGGGACUGAGGUAGGGACCAGACACGUACGGGAGGCAGUAGUGGGGAAUAUUGCAGAAUGGGCGGAAGCCUGAGGCAGCAGCGCCGCGUGCGGGAUGACGGUCUUCGGGUUGUAAACCGCUUUCGCCUGUGACGAAGCGUGAGUGACGGUAAUGGGUAAAGAAGCACCGGCUAACUACGUG